This 354-nucleotide long non-coding RNA is filed under the name Elaeis guineensis (African oil palm). RNAcentral describes it as "long non-coding RNA (EGUI_LNC073853)". Lineage: Eukaryota; Viridiplantae; Streptophyta; Magnoliopsida; Arecales; Arecaceae. The record is from RNAcentral.
CCACUUUCUCUCUCAAAAAAUUUCUACGCACACCCCACCUCCCUAUCUCUUUUAAAAUAGUUCAAAACGUGUCUUAUCCGCGUGAGAGGAUAAAGAUAAGUGGUUGCACAUGUGAAUUCAAAUCAAAUUUGAAUUCAAAUGCAAACCAACUCAUCCCUAUCCACUUGGGCAUGAGAAGAGAAGGUGCGUGGCUGCUUUAUGUGUGGAAAGGUUUCAUGAGAAACUCUUUCUCAUGUAAGAUAUGGGGCGCUAAAGAGGAUAAGGACAUGGCGCAUGGAUUGGUUGCUCAUUCAAAUUCAAACUUUGUUUUGAAUUUGAAUGGCCAACCAACCAUCCUUAUCCACCUAUGUGGCG